CCUACGGGUGACAGCAGUGAGGAAUAUUGGUCAAUGGGCGCGAGCCUGAACCAGCCAAGUAGCGUGCAGGAUGACUGCCCUACGGGUUGUAAACUUCUUUUAUAAGGGAAUAAAGUGAGGCACGUGUGCCUUUUUGUAUGUACUUUAUGAAUAAGGAUCGGCUAACUCCGUGCCAGCAGCCGCGGUAAUACGGAGGGUCCGAGCGUUAUCCGGAUUUAUUGGGUUUAAAGGGAGCGUAGGUGGGUUGUUAAGUCAGUUGUGAAAGGUUGCGGCUCAACCGUGGAAUUGCAAUUGAUACUGGCAGCCUUGAGUGCAGUGGAGGUAGGCGGAAUUCGUGGUGUAGCGGUGAAAUGCUUAGAUAUCACGAAGAACUCCGAUUGCGAAGGCAGCUUACUGAACCGCCACUGACGCUGAUGCUCGAAGGUGUGGGUAUCAAACAGGAUUAGAUACCCUUGUAGUC
Molecule: ribosomal RNA, 460 nt
Filed under: uncultured bacterium
Lineage: Bacteria
Description: partial 16S ribosomal RNA
Rfam family: Bacterial small subunit ribosomal RNA
Source: RNAcentral